This 2040-nucleotide long non-coding RNA is filed under the name Gossypium barbadense (sea-island cotton). RNAcentral's name for it is "long non-coding RNA (GBAR_LNC007955)". Lineage: Eukaryota; Viridiplantae; Streptophyta; Magnoliopsida; Malvales; Malvaceae. The record is from RNAcentral.
GAAAUAUCUGAGAUAUUCUAGUUAAUAUAUAUAUUAUAUAUAUGUAAGUAAUGAUUAUUAUUAAUAUUUUAUAUUAUAUUAUAUUAUAUAUAUAUAUAUGACAAAGAAAGAAAGAAAAGAAACAGAGAGCAAAACAAAACAAAACAGAGAAGGGAGAAAGAAAGAAACAGAGAGCAAAACAAAACAGAAAAGGAAGGAAGGAAAGAAAGAAAGAAAAGAAAAGAAAAAGGGAAAUUUGGGGUUUUAAGGUUCAAAGUAAUUUGGUAAGUCAAUUUAAUCCCCUUUUCUCUUAAUUUUGAUAUUUUUUUUGAAAUUUUGAAAGUUAGUAGAUUAUUAAGCAUGGUUCAUGUUGAAUAAAUUGUUAAAUUAGGGAUGUAUUUGAUAGAAAUUUUGAUUGGAAUUGAAUAAAGGAUUGAAUUGUAAACUAAACUAUAAGUUUUGAAUUUUAGGGAUUAAUUUGAAAUAAAUUCGGAAUUAUGAAAACAUGAUAAAAAUUAAAUAGUUAAAUAUGAGUUUAGUAAGAAUUAAGAGAGAAUAUAGAGUUAGAUUGGGAAAAAUAAAAUUAGUAUUGGUAAGGGAUUAAAUUAGAAUUUGGGUAAAGUUUAGGUAUAAAAGGAAAUAUUUUAAUGAAAUUGUGUAUUAAUGAUUUUUAAUUGUUUAAUUACGUAGCUAAUGUCGUGUACGAGUCAUUGUCCGAGAAAGGAAAGGAGAAAGUGGACAAGGAGUGACUCGAGAGAAAUUACGGUUAGUAUUACUAUAAUUCGAAUUUAAUUAUUAAUCGUUGAAAAUUAAAUUAAUAUACACGAUAAGCAAAUUGAGGUGAGUUUCAUAAUUGAAUUGAAUAAUAUAUAUACGUAUUGAUAUUGAAUUUAUUGACAGUAAUUAUUGAAUUUUGAAUAAUAUGUUAGUAAAUAAAAAUAAGGAGAAUAUCAAUAUUUAAUUGAAUGAAUUAAAAUAUGAAUUGAAUAAAUGAUAUAUUAAAUUGAGAUAUGUGAAUUGUGUAUUGAUUGAAAAGUGGUUUGAAUUGAAUCGAAGUAUGAUUAUAUGUGAAUAUCUGAAAUAUGUAUUGGUAUUGAAUUGUAUAUUGAUUUGAAAGUGGGAAGUGAAUCUGAGUUGAAUUGCGAUUAAAUCGAAAGUGAAUUUGAAAUAGAAAAAUGUAUUGAAACAAAUGGUGAUUAAAUGGGAAUGAUUUGAAUUGAAAGUAUGAGAAAGUGAUUGAAUUGAAAUGUGAUUCGGAAACCCUAUUAACUAGUCGGGCUGAGUCGGAUAUAGUUGGCAUGCCAUAGGAUUGGAAGAGUUCAGGGAUACUUCGACCUUGAGUCGAUGAGACACUGGAUGUCAUACUAUUACUUCGGAUAGAUUCGAUGAGGUACUGGGUACCAACUUACUUCGGCUUGGCCGAUGAGACACUGGGUGUCAACUAUUGCUUCGAACUAUCCGAUGAGGCAUUGGGUGCCAUUCUGGUGUGUUUGGUUGGAUCCGUGUAUCCGCCAAGGUCCGAGUCUUGUUAAUAGGGGUAAAUAAUUGAAAUGAGAAAAUUGAAUAAAUGUGAUUGAUUGAGCUAUGGGAAGAAACGAAAAAGUGAAGUUGUGAAUUGAUGUGUGAAUUGGAAAUCGAAAUAAGAGAUUUAAAGAUAUGAACCCAAAGUUCAUGAUAUGAUAAAGAGUAAAUUUUGUUAUAUGAUAUUAGUGAGUACAAAUUGCAAUAAAAUUUAUAUUGAAUAUAAAUUAAAUGAAAUGAAUUGUAUAUGAAUUGAAAUGAACUAUUGGAAUGAGAUGUAAAGAAAAAUCCAAUGGAAUUGAGAUAGUGAAAUAAGGUAUGAAUACAAUUAAAUACAAGAUUUGAAUUAUAGCUUAUUGUUAUUAAUUAUCAAGUUGAUUUAAUGCAUGAGAUAAUUAAUGAAUAAUUGUAGACAUAAAUAAAAUGUAUAUAAUUUAUCGAUUAAUGUUAUUAAUUCGAAUUAUGGUAAUACCACUGAGUAUUUCCAUACUCAGCGUACGGUUGUUUCCGUGCGCAGGUUAGGUCAAAGUCGGAUUGUUG